The sequence is a small RNA, 52 nucleotides long. It matches the Rfam family "ffh sRNA". The record is from Rfam.
UUUGGCCGGGAUCGCCCCCCGUCAGCGCGUUGCGCCCACGGGGGACAUUGGC